Molecule: ribosomal RNA, 468 nt
Filed under: uncultured bacterium
Lineage: Bacteria
Description: partial 16S ribosomal RNA
Rfam family: Bacterial small subunit ribosomal RNA
Source: RNAcentral
GACGAACGCUGGCGGCGUGCUUAAUACAUGCAAGUCGAACGGAAAGGUCCUGCUCUUGCGGGGUGCUCGAGUGGCGAACGGGUGUGUAACACGUGAGUAACCUGCACUUGACUUUGGGAUAUCUCCAGGAGAAAGGGGAUAAUACCGGAUAGGAGCUACUGCUGCAUGGUGGGGGAUGGAGAGAUUCGGCGGUUGGGGAUGGACUCGCGGCUUAUCAGCUUGUUGGUGAGGUAGUGGCUUACAAAGGCUUUGAAGGGUAGCCGGCCUGAGAGGGUGACCGGCCACAUUGGGACUGAGAUACGGCGCAGACUCCUACGGGAGGCAGCAGUGGGGAAUAUUGCACAAUGGGCGGAAGCCUGAUGCAGCAACGCCGCGUGCGUGAUGACGUCCUUCUGGUUGUAAACCGCUUUCGCCGUUGACGAAGCGUUAGUGACGGUAAUUGGUAAAGAAGCACCGGCUAACUACGUG